Molecule: long non-coding RNA, 1070 nt
Organism: Panthera uncia (snow leopard)
Lineage: Eukaryota; Metazoa; Chordata; Mammalia; Carnivora; Felidae
Exons: 2
Source: RefSeq, a predicted model, not a curated record
UCUCUCCAGGGGUGUGAUGAGCUUAAUUCUAGGAGCAUGGGAAUCACAGCCUGCUCCUCGCUGUUGCGCUGAACCAUCCUUGCGAGGGUGAAGAGCUGUUGCUGGGGUUUUACUAUUCAACAGGAAGCAGACAGUAGGAAGCCUGUCCUUUUUUUCCUCUCUAGCCUUCCAGUCUGCCUCUAGCUGGCAAAAAAAGAAAUGCGACUCCACACCAUUCCCGGGCUUAACUGGUGAGCCCUGUCAGACAAAUUGCAGAGUUCUGCAGAGAGACCCUGGGAAUAAUCACAAGGCAGCUGUGCAGCUUCACUGAAAAUCCUUCUGGAAGAAAAUGUAGCAAAGUCCGGCCCUGGUCUCAAGACUGCAGAAGAGUGGAGCCCACCCCACAGGUCAGAAAGAGCACAAAGCAUCUCGGAUUCACAGCGUGUACUGUCACUAAGACGCAUGUUACUUCUAAUUAUAAAAAAUUAGCUUCUGUGUUAUGGACUCCCAGACUUUUCAAAUCUUCCAAAAAUUCCUCAAGUUUAACCAUUUCUGUUCACAAUGAACAUAGCCCUUAAAAACUUUUCAGAGGGGGAAAAAAGCGAUACAGAAGACACAUUAAUGUUCAAGUAAUUUAAAACAAAAAGGUAGAUUUAAUGCAAUAACAACAUUAAUCUGAGGAUAAAUAAAUCCACAACAGACUUUAAAGUUUGCAUUUUUUUUUUCCUUUCUUUGCAGAGAGAAUGGUUUUCUUAAAGCAUAUGGGACUGAAGAUGUCAAAACAAAAUGUAAUUUCUUAAUGUCCAGGUGAAACAGGCUUGGUCCUCCCUGCUGCCCUCCUACCGCUUGCCACUGGCCAAGGUGAUCAGUUUCUCUCAUCUAACUCAGGAUGGAUGUUAGUUUCAAGAGUAACUAGACGGUUUGUUUCCAGAAUCAUCUUCUUGUGAUCCCAUGCUCUGUAAAGAAGAAGUGAGACGAUGUAUUUACACUUGCCCUUGCCAGAGAUUUCCCACCGGCCCCAAACAAGCACACCCUGUUCUUCUGUGAGGACAAUCGGUCACCCUGUGUACAAACAGGCCAUAGUUCGCAUA